CACAAUAAACAUAUGAAGGCUGCACCGCCAACAGGCGGCGAGGCUGGAGUAUUUUAUUACCCUUGUCUUUUGCGCACUUGUUGUUUCCUGGGCGGGUUCGCCCGCCUCCAGGACCACAUGAUAAACCUUUUUUAUGCAGUUGCAAUCAGCGUCAGUACAACAAAUGUAAAUCAUUUA
This 177-nucleotide unclassified non-coding RNA is filed under the name soil metagenome. Its description in RNAcentral is "partial internal transcribed spacer 1". The record is from RNAcentral.